Molecule: ribosomal RNA, 292 nt
Filed under: uncultured bacterium
Lineage: Bacteria
Description: partial 16S ribosomal RNA
Rfam family: Bacterial small subunit ribosomal RNA
Source: RNAcentral
GUGUCAGCAGCCGCGGUAAAACGUAGGACACGAGCGUUAUCCGGAGUUACUGGGCGUAAAGGGCGUGCAGGCGGUUGGGUAAGACUGAUGUGAAAGCGCCCGGCUUAACCGGGCGAGGACAUUGGUGACUGCGCGACUAGAGGCAGAUAGAGGGGUGUAGAAUUCCGGGUGUAGUGGUGAAAUGCGUAGAGAUCCGGAGGAAUACCAGAGGCGAAGGCGGCACCCUGGGUCUGACCUGACGCUGAGACGCGACAGCAUGGGGAGCGAACGGGAUUAGAUACCCCAGUAGUCC